This 497-nucleotide ribosomal RNA is filed under the name uncultured bacterium. RNAcentral's name for it is "partial 16S ribosomal RNA". It matches the Rfam family "Bacterial small subunit ribosomal RNA", at positions 28 to 507 of the family's 1533-position model. The record is from RNAcentral.
GACGAACGCUGGCGGCGUGCCUAAUACAUGCAAGUAGAACGCUGAAGAGAGGAGCUUACUCUUCUUGGAUGAGUUGCGAACGGGUGAGUAACGCGUAGGUAACCUGCCUUGUAGCGGGGGAUAACUAUUGGAAACGAUAGCUAAUACCGCAUAACAAUGGAUGACACAUGUCAUUUAUUUGAAAGGGGCAAUUGCUCCACUACAAGGUGGACCUGCGUUGUAUUAGCUAGUAGGUGAGGUAAUGGCUCACCUAGGCGACGAUACAUAGCCGACCUGAGAGGGUGAUCGGCCACACUGGGACUGAGACACGGCCCAGACUCCUACGGGAGGCAGCAGUAGGGAAUCUUCGGCAAUGGGGGCAACCCUGACCGAGCAACGCCGCGUGAGUGAAGAAGGUUUUCGGAUCGUAAAGCUCUGUUGUAAGUCAAGAACGGGUGUGAGAGUGGAAAGUUCACACUGUGACGGUAGCUUACCAGAAAGGGACGGCUAACUACGUG